RNAcentral lists this ribosomal RNA (580 nucleotides) under Escherichia coli. RNAcentral's name for it is "partial 23S ribosomal RNA". It matches the Rfam family "Bacterial large subunit ribosomal RNA", at positions 1 to 620 of the family's 2925-position model. The record is from RNAcentral. Lineage: Bacteria; Pseudomonadati; Pseudomonadota; Gammaproteobacteria; Enterobacterales; Enterobacteriaceae.
GGUUAAGCGACUAAGCGUACACGGUGGAUGCCCUGGCAGUCAGAGGCGAUGAAGGACGUGCUAAUCUGCGAUAAGCGUCGGUAAGGUGAUAUGAACCGUUAUAACCGGCGAUUUCCGAAUGGGGAAACCCAGUGUGUUUCGACACACUAUCAUUAACUGAAUCCAUAGGUUAAUGAGGCGAACCGGGGGAACUGAAACAUCUAAGUACCCCGAGGAAAAGAAAUCAACCGAGAUUCCCCCAGUAGCGGCGAGCGAACGGGGAGGAGCCCAGAGCCUGAAUCAGUGUGUGUGUUAGUGGAAGCGUCUGGAAAGGCGCGCGAUACAGGGUGACAGCCCCGUACACAAAAAUGCACAUACUGUGAGCUCGAUGAGUAGGGCGGGACACGUGGUAUCCUGUCUGAAUAUGGGGGGACCAUCCUCCAAGGCUAAAUACUCCUGACUGACCGAUAGUGAACCAGUACCGUGAGGGAAAGGCGAAAAGAACCCCGGCGAGGGGAGUGAAAAAGAACCUGAAACCGUGUACGUACAAGCAGUGGGAGCCUCUUUUAUGGGGUGACUGCGUACCUUUUGUAUAAUGGGU